AACGAACGCUGGCGGCAGGCUUAACACAUGCAAGUCGAGCGCCCCGCAAGGGGAGCGGCAGACGGGUGAGUAACGCGUGGGAACGUACCUUUUGGUUCGGAACAACUCCGGGAAACUGGAGCUAAUACCGGAUAAGCCCUAACGGGGAAAGAUUUAUCGCCGAAAGAUCGGCCCGCGUCUGAUUAGCUAGUUGGUGAGGUAACGGCUCACCAAGGCGACGAUCAGUAGCUGGUCUGAGAGGAUGAUCAGCCACACUGGGACUGAGACACGGCCCAGACUCCUACGGGAGGCAGCAGUGGGGAAUAUUGGACAAUGGGCGCAAGCCUGAUCCAGCCAUGCCGCGUGAGUGAUGAAGGCCUUAGGGUUGUAAAGCUCUUUUGUCCGGGAAGAUAAUGACUGCACCGGAAGAAUAAGCCCCGGCUAACUUCGUG
Molecule: ribosomal RNA, 431 nt
Filed under: uncultured bacterium
Lineage: Bacteria
Description: partial 16S ribosomal RNA
Rfam family: Bacterial small subunit ribosomal RNA
Source: RNAcentral